CACGCUUUAGUACAAGGGUAAUAGAUACUAUAUUAUAAAAUCCUCAAAUAUUGACCUGACUAUGCACAACAUCCUUGCCUUGUUUUUUUGUAACAAAGUUACCAGAGUUAUGUGGAUCCAAAGUAGAUUGUAUUUAUUUCUCUCAGAAUGUGCUAUACUUCAA
Molecule: long non-coding RNA, 163 nt
Organism: Dipodomys spectabilis (banner-tailed kangaroo rat)
Lineage: Eukaryota; Metazoa; Chordata; Mammalia; Rodentia; Heteromyidae
Exons: 3
Source: RefSeq, a predicted model, not a curated record